CCUCCAGCUCCUCGAUCCGGCGCCGCUGCGUCUCCAGCAGCUUCUGCUGGCUCUCGAUGAUGUUGUUGAGCUCCAGCAGAUGUCGGGCAUCCCAGGCCUGGGCCCUGGCGGGGCUCGGAGGGGUGACCCAGGCCCCAGGGGGAGAGAGGUGAAGACCAGGCAGGCCGGAAGAGCAGCCAGGCCUGGGGGGAACCCAGCUCCCCCCGGGGACUGUUUAAUUAAUUAGCCCAGGUUAAUA
This is a long non-coding RNA of Chelonia mydas (Green sea turtle), 238 nucleotides long. RefSeq lists it as uncharacterized. The record is from RefSeq and is a predicted model, not a curated record. NCBI's taxonomy places the organism in Eukaryota, Metazoa, Chordata, Testudines, Cheloniidae. The transcript is spliced from 2 exons.